RNAcentral lists this ribosomal RNA (1453 nucleotides) under Shigella flexneri. RNAcentral describes it as "bacterial SSU rRNA". It matches the Rfam family "Bacterial small subunit ribosomal RNA". Lineage: Bacteria; Pseudomonadati; Pseudomonadota; Gammaproteobacteria; Enterobacterales; Enterobacteriaceae. The record is from RNAcentral.
UCGAUUGAACGCUGGCGGCAGGCCUAACACAUGCAAGUCGAACGGUAACAGGAAACAGCUUGCUGCUUCGCUGACGAGUGGCGGACGGGUGAGUAAUGUCUGGGAAACUGCCUGAUGGAGGGGGAUAACUACUGGAAACGGUAGCUAAUACCGCAUAACGUCGCAAGACCAAAGAGGGGGACCUUCGGGCCUCUUGCCAUCGGAUGUGCCCAGAUGGGAUUAGCUUGUUGGUGGGGUAACGGCUCACCAAGGCGACGAUCCCUAGCUGGUCUGAGAGGAUGACCAGCCACACUGGAACUGAGACACGGUCCAGACUCCUACGGGAGGCAGCAGUGGGGAAUAUUGCACAAUGGGCGCAAGCCUGAUGCAGCCAUGCCGCGUGUAUGAAGAAGGCCUUCGGGUUGUAAAGUACUUUCAGCGGGGAGGAAGGGAGUAAAGUUAAUACCUUUGCUCAUUGACGUUACCCGCAGAAGAAGCACCGGCUAACUCCGUGCCAGCAGCCGCGGUAAUACGGAGGGUGCAAGCGUUAAUCGGAAUUACUGGGCGUAAAGCGCACGCAGGCGGUUUGUUAAGUCAGAUGUGAAAUCCCCGGGCUCAACCUGGGAACUGCAUCUGAUACUGGCAAGCUUGAGUCUCGUAGAGGGGGGUAGAAUUCCAGGUGUAGCGGUGAAAUGCGUAGAGAUCUGGAGGAAUACCGGUGGCGAAGGCGGCCCCCUGGACGAAGACUGACGCUCAGGUGCGAAAGCGUGGGGAGCAAACAGGAUUAGAUACCCUGGUAGUCCACGCCGUAAACGAUGUCGACUUGGAGGUUGUGCCCUUGAGGCGUGGCUUCCGGAGCUAACGCGCUAAGUCGACCGCCUGGGGAGUACGGCCGCAAGGUUAAAACUCAAAUGAAUUGACGGGGGCCCGCACAAGCGGUGGAGCAUGUGGUUUAAUUCGAUGCAACGCGAAGAACCUUACCUGGUCUUGACAUCCACGGAAGUUUUCAGAGAUGAGAAUGUGCCUUCGGGAACCGUGAGACAGGUGCUGCAUGGCUGUCGUCAGCUCGUGUUGUGAAAUGUUGGGUUAAGUCCCGCAACGAGCGCACCCCUUAUCCUUUGUUGCCAGCGGUCCGGCCGGGAACUCAAAGGAGACUGCCAGUGAUAAACUGGAGGAAGGUGGGGAUGACGUCAAGUCAUCAUGGCCCUUACGACCAGGGCUACACACGUGCUACAAUGGCGCAUACAAAGAGAAGCGACCUCGCGAGAGCAAGCGGACCUCAUAAAGUGCGUCGUAGUCCGGAUUGGAGUCUGCAACUUGACUCCAUGAAGUCGGAAUCGCUAGUAAUCGUGGAUCAGAAUGCCACGGUGAAUACGUUCCCGGGCCUUGUACACACCGCCCGUCACACCAUGGGAGUGGGUUGCAAAAGAAGUAGGUAGCUUAACCUUCGGGAGGGCGCUUACCACUUUGUGAU